GUGAACGCUGGCGGUAGGCCUAACACAUGCAAGUCGAACGGCAGCACAGAGGAGCUUGCUCCUUGGGUGGCGAGUGGCGGACGGGUGAGGAAUACAUCGGAAUCUACUCUUUCGUGGGGGAUAACGUAGGGAAACUUACGCUAAUACCGCAUACGACCUUCGGGUGAAAGCAGGGGAUCGCAAGACCUUGCGCGAUUGAAUGAGCCGAUGGCGGAUUAGCUAGUUGGCGGGGUAAAGGCCCACCAAGGCGACGAUCCGGAGCUGGUCUGAGAGGAUGAUCAGCCACACUGGAACUGAGACACGGUCCAGACUCCUACGGGAGGAAGCAGUGGGGAAUAUUGGACAAUGGGCGCAAGCCUGAUCCAGCCAUACCGCGUGGGUGAAGAAGGCCUUCGGGUUGUAAAGCCCUUUUGUUGGGAAAGAAAAGCACACGGUUAAUACCCGAGUGUUCUGACGGUACCCAAAGAAUAAGCACCGGCUAACUUCGUGCCAGCAGCCGCCGUAA
This 505-nucleotide ribosomal RNA is filed under the name uncultured bacterium. RNAcentral's name for it is "partial 16S ribosomal RNA". It matches the Rfam family "Bacterial small subunit ribosomal RNA", at positions 29 to 523 of the family's 1533-position model. The record is from RNAcentral.